CAAGAGGCUUUCAUGACCUUUCUUGGUUUUCCAACAAAGAGGGGGUUUGCCACCAUAAGUUCUUUAUCUGUCAACUAGGAGCUUAUUCAAAGUUCUCCACGUUUGGAUUGACUCAUUGGAUAAUACUUGACGCUUAACGCUUAAGCUUGUGAAGUUUGUGUCUACAAGAGGUCAGGAAAAUGUUCAGGAUCGGCUGCCAGAGGCGUGACAGUGUCGUGUCGCCCGUGUUUACUAGAUGUCUAUUUCCUUACCCUUAGUUAGGAUUGUUAAACGUUUUAAAUUGUUAAACUUUAUGUAUGACUCAGUCACCUUUGACUUGAGCUAUUGUUUGUUUCCGCUACGAUAUGGACCAUUGAGGUCUUAAUUACGAUGAUAGUAUUGAGUUAUGUUAUGGAGGCUUAAUGCCAUUGGAGUCCUCUUUAGGACAAUUGUUUAUUGUUGUGCAGGCUGGCGCUCAUUGUUCUAUAAAAUUGCGUCACGUCUGUCUAA
Molecule: long non-coding RNA, 489 nt
Organism: Tripterygium wilfordii
Lineage: Eukaryota; Viridiplantae; Streptophyta; Magnoliopsida; Celastrales; Celastraceae
Exons: 3
Source: RefSeq, a predicted model, not a curated record